RNAcentral lists this ribosomal RNA (492 nucleotides) under uncultured bacterium. Its description in RNAcentral is "partial 16S ribosomal RNA". It matches the Rfam family "Bacterial small subunit ribosomal RNA", at positions 29 to 507 of the family's 1533-position model. The record is from RNAcentral.
AGUGAACGCUGGCGGUAGGCCUAACACAUGCAAGUCGAACGGCAGCACAGUAAGAGCUUGCUCUUACGGGUGGCGAGUGGCGGACGGGUGAGGAAUACAUCGGAAUCUACUUUUUCGUGGGGGAUAACGUAGGGAAACUUACGCUAAUACCGCAUACGACCUACGGGUGAAAGCAGGGGAUCUUCGGACCUUUCGCGAUUGAAUGAGCCGAUGUCGGAUUAGCUAGUUGGCGGGGUAAAGGCCCACCAAGGCGACGAUCCGUAGCCGGUCUGAGAGGAUGAUAAGCCACACUGGAACUGAAACGCGGUCAAGAGUCCUAAGGGAGGCAGCAGUGGGGAAUAUUGGACAAUGGGGGCAAGCAUGAUCCAGCAAUACCACGUGGGUGAAAAAGGCCUUCGGGUUGUAAAGACCUUUUGUUGGGAAAGAAAAGCAGCAGGUUAAGACGCCGCUGUUCUGACGGUAACCAAAGAAUAAGCACCGGCUAACUUCGUG